AUGACAACAACACAACCACAAACACAGGAAACGGAGACAAACCCACCAAUCCAGAUCACAACAACACAACCACAAACACAGGAAACAGAGACAAACCAACCGAACCAGAUCACAACAACACGACCACAAACACAGGAAACAGAGACAAACCCACCAAUCCAGAUCACAACAACACAACCACAAACACAGGAAACAGAGACAAACCCACCAAACCAGAUCACAACAACACAACCACAAACACAGGAAACAGAGACAAACCCACCAAUCCCGGAAACGACCACAACCCUGGUAUCUCAGGUAACAACAAAAAAAAAGCCAAGUACAAAUGACAAACCCACCAGUCAGGAAAGCAACGAGAGCCACGGCAACCCAGAUAACAAUGGAGACUCCACCAAACCACAUGAUAACAACAAACCCGAAAAGCCAUGUCAAAAUGACCAACCCACCAGUCAGGAAAGCAACAAGAGCCAAGACAACCCAGGGAACAAGGGAAACCCAACCAAACCACAUGAUAACAACAAACCGGGAAAGAACCAGAAGCCCUGUGACAAUCAUAACCCCGGCAACUCAACACCAACAAAACCACAAACAGUGACAAACUCACCAAUCCGGAAUACCACCACAACCCUGGUAUCUCAGGUAACAAAGAAAAACCCACCAAACCAGAUCACAACAACACAACCACAAACACAGGAAACAGUGACAAACCCACCAAACCAGAUCACAACAACACAACCACAAACACAGGAAACAGAGACAAACCCACCAAUCCAGAUCACAACCACAGAACAACAAACACAGGAAACAGAGACAAACCCACCAAACCAGAUCACAACAACAGAACCACAAACACAGGAAACAGAGACAAACCCACCAAUCCAGAUCACAACCACAGAACCACAAACACAGGAAACAGAGACAAACCCACCAAUCCAGAUCACAACCACAGAACCACAAACACAGGAAACAGAGACAAACCCACCAAUCCAGAUCACAACCACAGAACCACAAACACAGGAAACAGAGACAAACCCACCAAUCCAGAUCACAACAACACAACCACAAACACAGGAAACAGAGACAAACCCACCAAUCCAGAUCACAACAACACAACCACAAACACAGGAAACAGAGACAAACCCACCAAUCCAGAUCACAACAACACAACCACAAACACAGGAAACAGAGACAAACCCACCAAACCAGAUCACAACAACACAACCACAAACACAGGAAACAGAGACAAACCCACCAAACCAGAUCACAACAACACAACCACAAACACAGGAAACAGAGACAAACCCACCAAUCCCGGAAACGACCACAACCCUGGUAUCUCAGGUAACAACAAAAAAAAGCCAAGUACAAAUGACAAACCCACCAGUCAGGAAAGCAACGAGAGCCACGGCAACCCAGAUAACAAUGGAGACUCCACCAAACCACAUGAUAACAACAAACCCGAAAAGCCAUGUCAAAAUGACCAACCCACCAGUCAGGAAAGCAACGAGAGCCAAGAAAACCCAGGGAACAAGGGAAACCCAACCAAACCACAUGAUAACAACAAACCGGGAAAGAACCAGAAGCCCUGUGACAAUCAUAACCCCGGCAACUCAACACCAACAAAACCACAAACAGUGA
RNAcentral lists this long non-coding RNA (1638 nucleotides) under Scophthalmus maximus (turbot). RNAcentral describes it as "lncRNA (ENSSMAG00000035443.1)". Lineage: Eukaryota; Metazoa; Chordata; Actinopteri; Pleuronectiformes; Scophthalmidae. The record is from RNAcentral.